UGGGGCGUCGUCAAGCGGUAAGACACUUGCCUUUGGAGCAAGCAUUCCCAGGUUCGAAUCCUGGCGCCCCAG
Molecule: transfer RNA, 72 nt
Filed under: Candidatus Ozemibacter sibiricus
Lineage: Bacteria; Candidatus Rifleibacteriota; Candidatus Ozemibacteria; Candidatus Ozemibacteraceae
Also listed under: 2 other names
Description: Candidatus Ozemobacter sibiricus tRNA-Gln
Rfam family: tRNA
About the family: Transfer RNA (tRNA) molecules are approximately 80 nucleotides in length. Their secondary structure includes four short double-helical elements and three loops (D, anti-codon, and T loops).
Source: RNAcentral